RNAcentral lists this ribosomal RNA (279 nucleotides) under uncultured bacterium. RNAcentral describes it as "partial 16S ribosomal RNA". It matches the Rfam family "Bacterial small subunit ribosomal RNA", at positions 506 to 784 of the family's 1533-position model. The record is from RNAcentral.
UGCCAGCCGCCGCGGUAAUACGGAGGGGGCAAGCGUUGUUCGGAAUUACUGGGCGUAAAGGGCGCGUAGGCGGAAGGACAAGUUAGGGGUGAAAGGCCUGGGCUCAACCUGGGAACUGCCUCUAAAACUGUUUUUCUAGAGUCCGGAAGAGGAUGGCGGAAUUCCCAGUGUAGAGGUGAAAUUCGUAGAUAUUGGGAAGAACACCAGUGGCGAAGGCGGCUUUCUGGACCAAUACUGACGCUGAGAUGCGAAAGCGUGCGGAGCGAACAGGAUUAGAUA